UUGCACAUACAGUAGCUGUUUUCUUCUCUUACUACUGGAUAUAGUGGCUACGUUAAUGGAGUAGAUUAAAAUUGUCAUGAUGUGAAGAGAGACGACUUUUCAGUGUUCUCUCUUUUUACAAAAUGGCUGGACACGCCAUC
This is a small nucleolar RNA of Rattus rattus (black rat), 140 nucleotides long. RefSeq annotates it as small nucleolar RNA SNORA29. The transcript has a single exon. The record is from RefSeq and is a predicted model, not a curated record. NCBI's taxonomy places the organism in Eukaryota, Metazoa, Chordata, Mammalia, Rodentia, Muridae.